Molecule: ribosomal RNA, 253 nt
Filed under: uncultured bacterium
Lineage: Bacteria
Description: partial 16S ribosomal RNA
Rfam family: Bacterial small subunit ribosomal RNA
Source: RNAcentral
UACGUAGGGGGCAAGCGUUGUCCGGAUUUAUUGGGCGUAAAGAGCUCGUAGGCGGUUCGUCACGUCGGCUGUGAAAUCCCGAGGCUCAACCUCGGGUCUGCAGUCGAUACGGGCGGACUUGAGUACUGCAGGGGAGACUGGAAUUCCUGGUGUAGCGGUGAAAUGCGCAGAUAUCAGGAGGAACACCGGUGGCGAAGGCGGGUCUCUGGGCAGUAACUGACGCUGAGGAGCGAAAGCGUGGGGAGCGAACAGG